GGAGAGACGGGGACGAGACAGAGCAUGGCAAGGGAAAAAGAAAAUGGACUUAUUUGCUUUGCCCUUUCCCUGCACUGCCUCUUCCCUGGCUCUCC
Molecule: microRNA precursor, 95 nt
Filed under: Digitalis purpurea (common foxglove)
Lineage: Eukaryota; Viridiplantae; Streptophyta; Magnoliopsida; Lamiales; Plantaginaceae
Description: miR408 stem-loop (dpr-MIR408)
Gene: dpr-MIR408
Source: miRBase by way of RNAcentral